GUUUGACCUCAAAUCAGGUAGGAUUACCCGCUGAACUU
This 38-nucleotide ribosomal RNA is filed under the name Zygosaccharomyces rouxii. Its description in RNAcentral is "partial 28S ribosomal RNA". The record is from RNAcentral. Lineage: Eukaryota; Fungi; Ascomycota; Saccharomycetes; Saccharomycetales; Saccharomycetaceae.